UUGGAAAGACCCACCACAGAAGGUAAUAGUCCUGUAUGUUAAACGAGAAGACUUCAGAUAUGAUCCAGAGUACCACGGGACACGUGAAACCCUGUGGGAAGCAGGAGGGACCACCCUCCAAGGCUAAAUACUACCUAGUGACCGAUAGCGUAUAGUACCGUGAGGGAAAGGUGAAAAGAACCCCGGGAGGGGAGUGAAAUAGAACCUGAAACCCUGCACUUACAAGCUGUGGAAGCACAUUUCUUGUGUGACCGCGUACUUUUUGUAGAACGGGCCAACGAGUUACGUUAAGUAGCAAGGUUAAGCACUUAAGGUGCGGAGCCGUAGCGAAAGCGAGUUUUAACUGAGCGUUCAGUUACUUGACGUAGACCCGAAACCGGGCGACCUACCCAUGAGCAGGAUGAAGCGAAAGUAAAAUUUCGUGGAGGUCCGAACCCACGAGCGUUGAAAAGCUCGGGGAUGACUUGUGGGUAGCGGUGAAAUUCCAAUCGAGCCCGGAGAUAGCUGGUUCUCCCCGAAAUAGCUUUAGGGCUAGCCUCAAGGUGAGAGAUACGGAGGUAGAGCACUGAAUGUCCUAGGGGGUAUUGCACCUACCGAAGACUAUCAAACUCCGAAUGCCGUCAUCUUAUACUUGGGAGUCAGACUGUGGGUGAUAAGAUUCAUAGUCGAAAGGGCAACAGCCCAGAUCGUCAGCUAAGGUCCCUAAAUGUAAGUUAAGUGGUAAAGGAUGUGGGAUUGCACAGACAACCAGGAUGUUGGCUUAGAAGCAGCCACUCAUUCAAAGAGUGCGUAAUAGCUCACUGGUCGAGUGAUCCUGCGCCGAAGAUUUCCGGGGCUAAAACUUACUACCGAAGCUACGGCAUCAGUAAUGAUGGGUAGGGGAGCUUCCCAUACGGGUUGAAGCAUGACCGUAAGGACAUGUGGACAGUAUGGGAGUGAGAAUGUUGGCAUGAGUAGCGAGAUGUGGGUGAGAAUCCCACAGGCCGUAAACCCAAGGUUUCCAGGGGAAGGUUCGUCCGCCCUGGGUUAGUCGGGACCUAAGCUGAGGCCGAAAGGCGUAGGUGAUGGACAACAGGUUGAUAUUCCUGUACUACCGAUAACCGUUUGAGAGAAGGGAUGACACAGUAGGAUAAGCUAAGCACACUGUUGGUUAUGUGUGCCCAAGCAUUGAGGCAGUCAAAGUAGGCAAAUCCGCUUUGAUAAU
Molecule: ribosomal RNA, 1204 nt
Filed under: Clostridioides difficile
Lineage: Bacteria; Bacillati; Bacillota; Clostridia; Peptostreptococcales; Peptostreptococcaceae
Description: partial 23S ribosomal RNA
Rfam family: Bacterial large subunit ribosomal RNA
Source: RNAcentral